CUCAACCCCAACCAAACCCUAGAGCUAGCCGCCACCCCUCCCUUUUCGUCUUCUUCGACGAACCAGACAACCCCACCCCCCUCGGCUUCAUCUCCUUCAAGACCCACCCCCUCAGAUCAUCAUCUUCUUCAAUACAACACAAAACCCUAGACCCCUAAGCCGCCGGCCAGCCUCUGGACCACCACCAAACGACCACCCCUGUGACCUAGCGCCGUUGUUCACCUCCAAACGACCACACACACACAGUCGUCGUUGGACCGAGAAUUGGCGAAAACCAUGGCCAUCGUUGCUCAUGCUUCUUCCCGUUAGCCAAAACUAGUCAAAACCUUGAACAUCAGCUGCUACUCUCUUCAUCUUCCUCCUCCAGCAGCUCGCCGGAAAAAUGAUUUCCAGCCGAAAACCCAAACACACCAUCAGCAGCCACCAACGUGUCCAGCUUUGAAUCUCGUUUGUGAAUCUGCCCCUGCUUCGUUCAAGUUUGGAGAUCAACGUUCAAGUUUUAUUUUGGCGAAGGUUCGAGGUAGCAGUCGGUCUCCGUCCGAGGUUCUUCGAUUCCCGGCAAGUUCCAAAAUCGAAGUUCUGUUGGUCCUGGUCACAUCCCUAUCUGAAUUUGGAGCUGCAAAUCAACUAAGCUCAGGUACACGUUCUGAAACUCGAUACCGUGUAGAUCUACAGCUGAAAUGAAAUGAAGUGGAAGCAUAUUUUUGUUGGAAUUCCUAGUGUUUUCAAUGCUUUCGUUAUAGUUUUGUAAGUUUUUUAAUUAAUGAACUGUUAGGCCUAAGUUUAUUUGUUUGAACUAUUAAGUGUGUGUUUGUGUUUAUUGUAACGAUUUCUGGUGUUAGUUAGCUUUUAAAAUUUUAAAAGGGGACGGAUUAGGACUGAUUUUGAGAAGGCCGUUUGGACUGUGUUACGAAAUGCAUAAGCAUUAGUUGUGGUUUGUUUCAAUCCGUAGAAUUGCUGGACAUUUGAAUUAAUUGAAUAAUUCAGUUUUCCAGGUCUAUUUCUUUCUUA
Molecule: long non-coding RNA, 1011 nt
Organism: Nicotiana tabacum (common tobacco)
Lineage: Eukaryota; Viridiplantae; Streptophyta; Magnoliopsida; Solanales; Solanaceae
Source: RefSeq, a predicted model, not a curated record